This 451-nucleotide ribosomal RNA is filed under the name uncultured bacterium. Its description in RNAcentral is "bacterial SSU rRNA". It matches the Rfam family "Bacterial small subunit ribosomal RNA", at positions 29 to 524 of the family's 1533-position model. The record is from RNAcentral.
AGCGAACGCUGGCGGCAGGCCUAAUACAUGCAAGUCGAGCGGGUCCUUCGGGAUUAGCGGCGGACGGGUGAGUAACGCGUGGGAACGUGCCCUUUGGUACGGAACAACUGAGGGAAACUUCAGCUAAUACCGUAUGUGCCCUUCGGGGGAAAGAUUUAUCGCCAUUGGAGCGGCCCGCGUUGGAUUAGGUAGUUGGUGAGGUAAAGGCUCACCAAGCCUACGAUCCAUAGCUGGUCUGAGAGGAUGACCAGCCACACUGGGACUGAGACACGGCCCAGACUCCUACGGGAGGCAGCAGUAGGGAAUCUUGCGCAAUGGGCGAAAGCCUGACGCAGCCAUGCCGCGUGAAUGAUGAAGGUCUUAGGAUUGUAAAAUUCUUUCACCGGGGACGAUAAUGACGGUACCCGGAGAAGAAGACCCCGGCUAACUUCGUGCCAGCAGCCGCGGUAAU